This is a long non-coding RNA of Raphanus sativus (radish), 1109 nucleotides long. RefSeq lists it as uncharacterized. The transcript has 3 exons. Lineage: Eukaryota; Viridiplantae; Streptophyta; Magnoliopsida; Brassicales; Brassicaceae. The record is from RefSeq and is a predicted model, not a curated record.
CGUAAGCACCAAAACAAAGAUCGUAAGAAUGAAAGGAAGGAUCUUUCUUGAGAGAGCUGACAAGAAGACAGAGAAGAAGGAAACUGUAAGAAUUAGAGAUACAAAUCGGUGAAGAAAGGAGCAAAGAUUAUAUAUGUUAGCUGAAAGGGUUUUUACCGUGUUCACGAAUCACGAGGAGGCUGGCGAAAAGGAAAUAUACGAAGGGACACAGAAACAAAGACAGAGAUAUUUUUACAACGGCUUAUCUACGUUGUGAGUUUGGUCAACAUAAAUUCGCUGGGAAUAAUUGAAUUUAGAGAAAUACUUUUGCAUAUCGCUAAAUCAUAUCUUAUGACAAAAUUAAUGUAUAAUUAAAAAUAAUAACAUUUACUAAAAAAAAUUAUAGUUGGAUUUAUAGUUUUUUAAUGUAUGUGUUUGUGGUUUGGUUUUUAAAAGUGAAAAUGUGAUAAAAUUUAAGUAUUAAAGUAAUUUAGCUUCUUCCUUUUUUUCUUAAUCAAAUUAGUCUUAUUUUGAAAAAUAUAGUACUAGAUAUUUUUUGGAUAAUUUUAAAACUGCUAUUUUAGAAAAUUUUCCUUUUUAUUUAUCUUUUCUUUUUUGAAAGAGAGUUAAUUUAGAUUACCUCCUCAACACAUUGGUUUAGAUUACACAAGAAUGAAAAGUGUUCUCGAAUGAAAAUUUAGAUUACACGUUGAAAAUUUUCCCUUUUAUUUAUUAAUUUUCCAUUUCUAAAGUGUUUCAUAUCGCCGAAAAAAAGUUUUUUUUCUUUCACAUCUGCACAGCUGUACUUCUCGAAUGAGUAUUCCGCAUGGUUGCUUUGACUUUAAUCUCUUCACUUCAGUUUACUGUCUUGGAACUCGUCUAAAACUUUGUGCUCUCUCACCAAAGCCAAAGACCGUGGAUGCCAAAAUCUGCCGCAUGUUUACCGGAUAUUGGAUAGCAGCAACUACGCUUUGUAUCGCAAUAGGCUCCUGACCACUGCGCAAAUGCUUUCGAAACAAAUUAAUUUUAGCUGUAUAUUUCUUACUUAUAUUAAUUAACAUCAGAAUUUUAAAUUUUACGGGGUACAUAUCUGUAAAAACAAUGAUGAACUUGAGAUAAAGCAGAGUACG